GUGUCAGCAGCCGCGGUAAUACGAACUGCGCGAACGUUAUUCGGAAUCACUGGGCUUAAAGGGUGCGUAGGCGGCACGGCAAGUUGGGUGUGAAAGCCCUCGGCUCAACCGAGGAAUUGCGCCCAAAACUGCCGCGCUCGAGGGAGACAGAGGUGAGCGGAACUUAGGGUGGAGCGGUGAAAUGCGUUGAUAUCCUAAGGAACACCGGUGGCGAAAGCGGCUCACUGGGUCUCUUCUGACGCUGAGGCACGAAAGCUAGGGGAGCGAACGGGAUUAGAUACCCCGGUAUUCCUAGCUGUAAACGAUGAGCACUGGGUCGGAUAGUCUUCCAUAACUUUCCGGCCGAAGCGAAAGUGUUAAGUGCUCCGCCUGGGGAGUAUGGUCGCAAGGCUGAAACUUAAAGGAAUUGACGGGG
Molecule: ribosomal RNA, 415 nt
Filed under: uncultured prokaryote
Description: bacterial SSU rRNA
Rfam family: Bacterial small subunit ribosomal RNA
Source: RNAcentral